UCUGGGCGUAGUACGACGAUAGAUCCGGUUGUGAUCGCGAGUGUGUAGUAGAACGCGGAAAGGGCCUGUGUCUCUGUGUAUCCGAGCGUGGCGGCUGUUGAGUAGUAGUGAGUUCAAUGUUUGCGUGCGUAGCCGACGGUCGGUUCGUCUACCGUAGAGUACGUCGUGUGCAAUAGAACGGAACUAAGCUUCGAUCGAAUACGGUUAGUCGCGCUGGCGCUUGCAAAGCGAGCGGACGUGCGUAUUGAUUGCCCAGUGGCAAGUCGGUGAUUCUGAAGGUCAGCAUUAAAUGCAGCUGCAAUGCCGCACCGGACGGACUGUUGGAUAAUGCAGUGGAGGAAAUGUGCACCACUCAGGUGGACUUGGAAAGCCUUCUCCACCAAUCUUUGAUACAUUUCUAUUCAGAUGAGGCGAUGACACGAGCGGCUAGACGACGUAAACGGCUUCUACCGAAGGACGAUGGAUGACCCAAUGGAACGGAAGGGAGUGAUCUAAUGGAGAGGUAGCAUUUCCAGAUAAUCUGUACCGUUUUGUUAAAGAGCAAGAGCUUCCUGGAGGAAUGAAUAAGGCGUAUUAAACCUCCUAAAACGAGUACCUUAUAAGACGAGUUCUUUCCACGGUAAAAACGAUUGAAUGUGUUUCGAUUCCUAUCUGACACCUUCUACUCGUAUGUGGUCAAAGGUUGAAAAAUUUGGUAUUACACUAUCAUACACAAAUGUUCAAAAGUUUGCAUAACGUUCAUAUUAAAAAAAGUAGCUCCUGAGUCAGCAGCCAAAAAAUAGACACCUUUAUCAGUCGAACUCUAACCGUGAAGGCCAAAAGAGUGAAGCAACUUCGUUCAGAAGCGUGCGCGAUGAAAGAACUGCACCCCUUAGCAUCUAAAACGAACUCCGUGUGGCAGUUUGUGAACGUCGUAUAAGCCUAUUCCGGUAUCUUCUGCAACAUCUUGUCAAUAUCAAAUAACAAUCAGAGUAUCGAAAGAUUGCCCAGUUCCCGAUGGCCGACGAUCCUGAGCGACAAUCAGCUCCAAAGGAAGCUAAAGAGGAAGAGCGAGGGAAAUGUGUCUAUAUUGCUCCGUUUGCUUUGCCAGGUGGUCGACGUAACAGGAAAAAAACAGUGAAAUAGUGCCUGAGGAACAUGAACACACAUGUCAGGAAGCGGAAAUCGCGUCCACUGGUUUCGGAAUGGUGUCAGUCGGUCGAACAUCCCCCAGCUGCGUCCCAUCGAAAGUUUCUACGUCAUCAGAAAAAAAUCAUCGAAAAAAUUAAAUAAAAACUAUUUAAAAAAUUCUUCUAUAUUUCGGACCGCAAUCAAACUUUAAAAUUUGCGAACUUUUUCUGUAAAUUUGCAAUCUGUAUUUUCAUGUUUUAUUGUAUCACCUUAAAAAAGAAACGAAAAGAAUAACACGUUCCCACAGCUUCCGUUGCCGUUUCUACGGCCUACUUCCUGCAUCCAAAUGCCACCGAAAACGUUCUGUCUGUCUAUUGCAAGGAACGGUGC
Anopheles merus is the source of this 1500-nucleotide long non-coding RNA. RefSeq lists it as uncharacterized. NCBI's taxonomy places the organism in Eukaryota, Metazoa, Arthropoda, Insecta, Diptera, Culicidae. The record is from RefSeq and is a predicted model, not a curated record. The transcript has 3 exons.